AAAUUGAAGAGUUUGAUCAUGGCUCAGAUUGAACGCUGGCGGCAGGCCUAACACAUGCAAGUCGAGCGGUAGCACAGAGAGCUUGCUCUCGGGUGACGAGCGGCGGACGGGUGAGUAAUGUCUGGGAAACUGCCUGAUGGAGGGGGAUAACUACUGGAAACGGUAGCUAAUACCGCAUAACGUCGCAAGACCAAAGUGGGGGACCUUCGGGCCUCAUGCCAUCAGAUGUGCCCAGAUGGGAUUAGCUAGUAGGUGGGGUAAUGGCUCACCUAGGCGACGAUCCCUAGCUGGUCUGAGAGGAUGACCAGCCACACUGGAACUGAGACACGGUCCAGACUCCUACGGGAGGCAGCAGUGGGGAAUAUUGCACAAUGGGCGCAAGCCUGAUGCAGCCAUGCCGCGUGUGUGAAGAAGGCCUUCGGGUUGUAAAGCACUUUCAGCGGGGAGGAAGGCGAUAAGGU
This 461-nucleotide ribosomal RNA is filed under the name Klebsiella pneumoniae. Its description in RNAcentral is "bacterial SSU rRNA". It matches the Rfam family "Bacterial small subunit ribosomal RNA", at positions 1 to 460 of the family's 1533-position model. The record is from RNAcentral. Lineage: Bacteria; Pseudomonadati; Pseudomonadota; Gammaproteobacteria; Enterobacterales; Enterobacteriaceae.